UCUCGCAAUUCAGCUGGACAUUCCCUGUUAUACAAAAAGGAUAGUUUGGAAAACUGUGGUGUGCAGAGUUGAACGCAUCAAGUAUGUCUCCCAUCUAAAACACAUUGUUCUUGCCAAGUCCACCAAAAUUGCACGAGAAGCAUUACAAAACAGUAAUUAAGCAUCUUAUGCCAGGAAUAACGCAACUAUCUGGCACUGUAUUAACUUCUGGAGGGCCAUAAUAACACAUGGCAUUGGUGGAAAAAAAAAACUAAUUACGGGGAAAUUUUACUUGAAUAAACCUUAUUCCUAACUUGCUCAUAUAACAAAUUAUGACACAUAAAAUAAUGCACCAAAAUCUAACAACAAAGGCACCACAAACCACAUACCCUGAUGUCAAAACAAAUGUAGGCCGAAUAUAUGGCAGAUGCACCAUUCUGAAUCAUUUGCACUUGGAAUGUUAAGGUAAUAUAUGAAAGAACAUUUCUGCUUGCAAUGCACUGGAUGCUAUUGCUAGCAUCCACCUCAUCUCAACAAUAAUGAAACACAGUGCAUGAGGCUAAGAACUUAAAAAUAUACCAAAAACAAGAAUUUUGAUGCAGGACAGCCACCAAAAUCAAGGAUUAGGAUUACUAUUUAAAGUUUUUUGAACGUAUAAUUCAUAUUGGUACCAUGAAUAAUAUUUUGGAAUAUAAAGUUCUCUGGAAGCUAACUGAUAGUGAAAUCAAUAAGGAUAUUCAAUAGAAAAUUGUAGAAACUAAUAAUGAUUUUCAAACCCAAAUGGAAUGCUGGUUUUUGAAAAUUUGAAGAAAAGAAAGAAAUUUUUAUAUUUCACCUUUCAGAACUCUUUCGAAAUAUACCACAGGAUCCUGCUAGUAUUACAUCUAGGAUUGCAAUUGCACCACACAAUCUCCAAAGAGAGCCCAAUGACAACAAAAAAGUUCCAAAAUUAUUCCUACUUAAUUGAAAAAGAUUAUAUCAAUAUAAAUAAAUAGGUUUUGAGUUUGUUAGUCUAUAACAAGA
This 1002-nucleotide unclassified non-coding RNA is filed under the name Hevea brasiliensis (rubber tree). The record is from RNAcentral. Lineage: Eukaryota; Viridiplantae; Streptophyta; Magnoliopsida; Malpighiales; Euphorbiaceae.